Molecule: ribosomal RNA, 484 nt
Filed under: uncultured bacterium
Lineage: Bacteria
Description: partial 16S ribosomal RNA
Rfam family: Bacterial small subunit ribosomal RNA
Source: RNAcentral
AUUGAACGCUGGCGGAAUGCUUUACACAUGCAAGUCGAGCGGCAGCACGGGGGCAGCCCUGGUGGCGAGUGGCGAACGGGUGAGUAAUACAUCGGAACGUGCCCGGUCGUGGGGGAUAACGUAGCGAAAGUUACGCUAAUACCGCAUACGAUCAGAGGAUGAAAGCGGGGGACCUUCGGGCCUCGCGCGAUCGGAGCGGCCGAUGUCAGAUUAGGUAGUUGGUGGGGUAAAGGCCUACCAAGCCGACGAUCUGUAGCUGGUCUGAGAGGACGACCAGCCACACUGGGACUGAGACACGGCCCAGACUCCUACGGGAGGCAGCAGUGGGGAAUUUUGGACAAUGGGCGCAAGCCUGAUCCAGCCAUUCCGCGUGCAGGACGAAGGCCUUCGGGUUGUAAACUGCUUUUGUACGGAACGAAAAGGCGCUGGCUAAUACCUGGGGCUCAUGACGGUACCGUAAGAAUAAGCACCGGCUAACUACGUG